CGGAGCACUAGGAGAACUUUUAAGAUGGGAGGAAUGAUAAGUCUCCUGGGAUCUGGCUCAGGAAUGCUAUGAUUUUAUAGACCUUAGAGUAAAAGUUUGAUGGAAUGAUUUGAGAAAAGGCUUAGAAUGGGUUCAAAAAGUGGCCCUUAGAAGAGAAGUUAAUGCCGGCUAAUGAACUCUUAAAGUAAGGGAGUUUGAGAUGCCGGACAUCGAAGCAAUAAGUAAUAAAAGCAAAGAAGGUAGGAAUGCAAACGGGAUAAAGAGGAGUAUUACGAGCGAUGCAAAAGUUUGAAAAAGUUUGCUAAGUGAAGGAAUCAGACUUGAGCAGAGGGAGCCAAGCCUGAAUUACAAUAAUAAUUAGCUGACUAGAAUAGAGGAAUGAGGGAUGAAUUAGUCGAGUAUCAGGUCUUCAAGGUGGUAUCUGGCAUGAUUGACUUAGAAGAGGAGCGGCCUUUAUUACUUCGACUACGGCUGCAUUGUCGCAUAAAGCGGCCAUGUGUUCCUUCCAUUAGUUGCCCCAGGCACAGCAUGCAAUAGAGAUGGAGAUUAUCUCAUAAAGGCUGACGGUUCGGAUUGGGGAAAGAAAGUGGGCAGAUGGCAGCGAACCAUGGACCCUGAAGAAAUCCCCAAAACCCACAGACGAAGCUACGUCCGUGCAAAACCGAAUGGAGUCUGCUGACGUGACGACAUGAUCAUAAAGGAAAGAUAUACCAUUCCGGUUCUGCAGAACAGUGGACCAGAAAAACAGGAUUUGGAGUUCUGCUGCCUGCAACUUACACCUUUUCGACACUAGGUGCCACCAGUAGGAGUGUACCUGAGGCGACAGGUGUUGUGCAUCUACUCAUCAGCUCGGACGCAUAUAGAGGAAGGUUGCCAACACCUUGGCGCCUGAGUGUUUUUGCCUCCGUGGUGUGAAUCCUACCUGAUCUGUUCCAGUCCUCCGUAGUGGCUAAGGCUACUUCCUG
Molecule: long non-coding RNA, 965 nt
Organism: Girardinichthys multiradiatus
Lineage: Eukaryota; Metazoa; Chordata; Actinopteri; Cyprinodontiformes; Goodeidae
Exons: 3
Source: RefSeq, a predicted model, not a curated record